RNAcentral lists this ribosomal RNA (496 nucleotides) under uncultured bacterium. RNAcentral describes it as "bacterial SSU rRNA". It matches the Rfam family "Bacterial small subunit ribosomal RNA", at positions 30 to 518 of the family's 1533-position model. The record is from RNAcentral.
CGAACGCUGGCGGCGCGUUUAAGCAUGCAAGUCGAGCGGCAAGGGCCUUCGGGCCCUAGAGCGGCGGACGGGUGAGUAACACGUGGACAAUCUGCCCCCCGGCCCGGGAUAGCCCAGGGAAACCUGGAUUAAUACCGGAUGAGACGGGACCCGCGAUGGCGGGAUCCGGGAAAGGCGCUGCGGCGCCGCCGGGGGAUGAGUCUGCGUCCCAUUAGCUAGACGGCGGGGUAACGGCCCACCGUGGCGACGAUGGGUAGCCGGCCUGAGAGGGUGGACGGCCACAUUGGAACUGAGACACGGUCCAGACUCCUACGGGAGGCAGCAGCUAAGAAUCUUCCGCAAUGGGCGAAAGCCUGACGGAGCCGACGCCGCGUGAACGAAGAAGGCCGUGAGGUUGUAAAGUUCUUUUCGGGAGGGGAACAACCGUGGCAGGGAAUGGCCGCGGGAUGACGUGAAUCCCGGAAUAAGCCCCGGCUAACUACGUGCCAGCCGCCGC